UCUCUCUCUACGGAAAAGUCGCCGAUUCGAGUUGAUUUCGUGCCGUGCUCGUUGCUCGCUGCCUUGGCGACUCUCGGGAUGCUUCUAGCACAUGGGGAGGAAGUUUUUCUCUGAGUUUUCUAUGAGGAGGUUUUCAGUAGUAACGAGGGAUUCUUUUGACUGUGAAGGAACUACUUUAGCUCAGUAAAAGAGUUGCUGUAAAGCCGAGCAGGUUAUUGAACUCCAUUAAACUAUAUUUAUGACCUCGAGAACUUGUCUACAGGGUGUUCCAGCCAGGGCAGGAUUAUAAUUGACCCUUGUAUCGUUUUCAUCUAGUUGGUGAGAGCUUGUGGAGGCUUAAUUUGAGGGUCGGGGACUAGUUGAGCUACAUCUUGGGACUCUUUUGGACUGAUUUGAGCCUUGUGAUAGAGCCAUCUACAGGAGAGGCUAGGGAUCG
This is a long non-coding RNA of Ananas comosus (pineapple), 436 nucleotides long. RefSeq lists it as uncharacterized. Lineage: Eukaryota; Viridiplantae; Streptophyta; Magnoliopsida; Poales; Bromeliaceae. The record is from RefSeq and is a predicted model, not a curated record. The transcript has 6 exons.